GGACGAACGCUGGCGGCGUGCUUAACACAUGCAAGUCGAACGAGGUUAUGUUGAUGAGAUCUCGGAUGGAUUCAGCAUAACCGAGUGGCGGACGGGUGAGUAACGCGUGAGCAACCUGUCUUACACAGGGGGAUAACGCUCCGAAAGGAGUGCUAAUACCGCAUAGGACCACGAUGCUGCAUGGCAUUGAGGUGAAAGGAGGAAUCCGGUGUAAGGUGGGCUCGCGUCCCAUUAGAUAGUUGGUGAGGUAACGGCUCACCAAGUCGACGAUGGGUAGCCGACCUGAGAGGGUGAUCGGCCACAUUGGAACUGAGAUACGGUCCAGACUCCUACGGGAGGCAGCAGUGGGGAAUAUUGGGCAAUUGGGCGCAAGCCUGACCCAGCAACGCCGCGUGAGGGAAGAAGGUCUUCGGGUUGUAAACCUCUGUCCUUGGUGAAAAGGAAGGAUGGUAGCCAAGGAGGAAGCCCCGGCUAACUACGUGCCAGCCGCCGC
Molecule: ribosomal RNA, 493 nt
Filed under: uncultured bacterium
Lineage: Bacteria
Description: bacterial SSU rRNA
Rfam family: Bacterial small subunit ribosomal RNA
Source: RNAcentral